UGCCACUCGCAGGUAAAUCUUCGGAAAAAAAAAAUCAGGCUCCCACCUAGCCCAAUAAAGACCCGUGUUCUACGAGAAAGAGUCAAGGCCUACACGGCUACUCCCACCGUCCCACGGGCCACGGCCCUUUACCCCCAAGAAGCUCUGCGCUUCUUCAGGCACGCGCACCACCACCAGUCCACCUGCCUCCUCCGCAGCUGCUGAUGACCACAUUUGCCUUCGCGUUCGUGUUCAAGGCUUUGCGCAAUGUCCUCGAGCCGGUGCGCAGCUGCAUUCGUGGUCUGCAAGGUGCCAAGGUGGUGGAGUUCCAGGAUUAGGUGCACGCCUCCUUUCCCCACGUGUAUGUUGUUUCGAGGCGUUUGAUGGAAGCAGAGCACGGAAGGUGUUGGAUGAAAUGUUGGUGAGGAAUGUGGUUUAACGCGAUGAUCAAUGGCUUCGCCGGAUGGGGUGAGGUUGAGUAUGUGAGGCGUAUGUUUGAUCAAAUACCCUGCAGCAAUGUUGUCUCAUGGACCAGGAUGAUUGAUAGGUAUACUGCCUCUAAGAGGAGGCUGUUGCUCUUUUCUGCUAGAUGAUGGCUGGAGGCAUUAGCCUGAGUGAGGUAACUGGUUUACUAGAUAUUCCUGCAAAUCUAGUCUUGGAUGGAUCAUUAUGGGUGAGAUGCCGCAUGGGUAGAAGAAACCUAGUGCCAUGGACAUCGAUAGUUUCUGGUUUUGCAAUGCAUGGGCUGUCAGUUGAGGCACUUGAGUUGUUUGCAGAGAUGAGAAGAGCAGGGAUUAGGCCCAACAGAGUCACCUUCUUGAGCGUCGUCGAUGCUUGCAGUCAUGGGGGGCUGGUAAAGCAAGGGCUAGCGUUUUUUCAAAAAAGCAUGGUUUUAUAGUACAAUAUAGAUCCAGGGGUCGAACAUUUUGGGUGCAUCAUAGACAUGCUAGUUGCUAGCUAGGGCUUGGAUGGUUGUGUGAGGCCGAGCAAACAAUAGACAAGUUGCAGUCCUAUGGAGGAUAAUGUUGGGUGUUUGCAGUAAGUGUGGAGAAGUUGAGAUGGGGGAGCGGGCGAUGAAGAAGAUACUAGACUUAGAGAAUGCGAAGGUGAUUUUGCGGUGCUAUCUGAUUUGCUUAAUGAGCUUGGUAGGUUCAGUGAUGCUGAACAAGCACGGAAUUUAUUGGAUGAGAGGAAAAGGAGAUCUAUUAAGGUUCUUGGGAUUGCUUUGGUUAAUGAGAUUCAGUAGUUGCUGAUUGUCCAGUCUGAUGAGAGGAAGAAGCUCUCUCAAAUUUUAUUGCAACCUUACCACUUUAAGCUCCCUGUACUAUACCAACUUCAAUAAAUCUCCAGAUAUUUUACCAUUUUUUUUCUCCCAUGUAAAGAAACAAAAUUAAAUUUAAUUGUUUCUUGGUUGCUAAAUAGAUUGUCAUAAUUGAUAUGCCUGCAGCCCAAUAUUUGUUAACUCAGCGCUAUCAUUGUGCCAUUUCACUUUGUUUUCCUUUUGUGCCCUCAUAAUAAGCCUCAAAGGCAUGCUGCAUUUGUUCACUUGUUUCCUCCUAAAAAAUUACUGCUUUGCCCAGUACAGCUGUUUGUUAGAGCUUUUACCUAUUUUACAUUUCCUUGCAGGAAGCAGGUGAAGUGAACCUCAUGUCUAGUUCUUGCUCCUCUUUAACUAAAUUGUCUUGUAAUAUGGAAGCUGUAAAGAAGCUCCAUGCUCAUCUCAUUAUUCCUGGCCUGCACAUCUGUCAAUAUGCAGUGUCCAAGGUUAUCAGAUCUGAUGCUCUUUAGAUAUUAGAUUUGGUUUUUACUCAUAAUGUAUUUGAGCAGAUCGAAUUACCAACAACUUUUAUUUGGAAUGCUCUACUCAGCGGUUAUGGAUAGGUUGGUGAUAUUAGUAGUUCAUUUAUCAUUGCCUUCUUUGCUUUGGUCUUCACUAUUUCUUUUUUCUUUCAUGCUGAAUCCUAGCAAGGACAGUAUGUUCCUCUUACAGUAAUUCAUUGCCAUGUAGAUGUGGAGAUCAAUUAUCAUUCACGUUGUAUACAGAAAGUCAUUUACAUGACUAAAUUGUGUCCUUGCAGCUGGGGAAAAAACCAUGUAGAUUGUAGCCACUGAAUGACAUCAAUCUCGAGCUAUAUAUAGAAACCUUGCUCAUGUGCUAAAAAAUAACUAGCGCAGUACCUGACUACCUUCUGCAUAAUUGGACAGUCUAUAUAAGCUGUGCAUGUUGGGGUUGCUGGGAUAUGGUAUGUCUUCAGGCAGCAUCAAUGACAGUAACUGUCCUGGUAUUUUACCUUCCUAUGGAUGGUUAGAUUGAAGGUGCUUGUGCUCAGCAUGGACACUCCAUGUCGGCUGCUGCAAAAGUUAACAUCAACAUGUCGCUUCUUUGGUGCAUUUGCCUUUCUGUGCCAUGCCAUGUAUGUGUUUUGUAUCAUUAUGCAUAAAGAGGUGUAUGAAUUGAGUUGUAUUCUGCAUGAUCCAUAUACUUGGUGAUGCAGGGUCUAGAUGUUGAUAUUAUCUGAAGAUUGUUUUACGAUUUUGGUCGACAAUUUUCAAUAGCUUGUGAGAAUAUCCAGUUUUACCACCCAUGAUGGCAUGAUCAUCACAUCCUUGACGAUCUGCACAGGCACAACGCAUGCAGCCAAGUACCACCCGCCGCAUCCAUUGAAGUGGGGGACGUUUUUUAACUCUGCUUGCCCUACCCUACCUACGGCUACGGGCCUUACCGCCAUGAAGAGACCUUGGUCCUUGCAGCUUGUCCUGCCGCCAUGGAGAUCCUGUCCUGCUGCCCAUGUAAUGGGGGGCACUGUACACGUACCCUCCUUCCCCAAGGCCCCAGCUAAGCAUGCACGCAUUUGUCCAUUGUCUACUGCCGCCGCUACUGUUCAUUGGCUGGCCCUACCUCACUCCAGUUAUUGCACGAUGCACGGUAAAGCUGGACCAAAGAGUCAAGUGUGAGAUCCUCAACAUGGACCUUGCAGAUGCACAGCAGCAGCGUUCAGUAACAACAGCAGCAGGAAGGAGCAAGACUCCGUCAGAAUUCAGUAACAACAUGUAGGAGUAUGUGAUGAAGCUUUUUACCUGCUUUUCUCUAGCUUUCCAGCCAUCACUUUUCAGACCUUCAGGAGAAUCUCAAAUGCACGGCUCAGCAGCUCUUGUCCUGUGGCUCUUGUCUGCUUGCCUUGCAGACUCCAGUGGCAGUCACUGCAUGCAGAGCCUUCCCCUGUGCACACCUAAUCCAAUCCAGUGCUCUUUUCUCACAGCAAGAAAACCCAAAAAACAGAAAGAGAAGAGGACAAGGCGACACUAAAACUAUUGCUCUUCUUUGGAUUCUGAUAUUCCCCCAAUUAUUGUUUUUGUUCUGUUUCUCAUGUAACUCUCAGAACAUUGGAUCCUAUAAUUUUGUAACUUUGUUUGUGUGUUUACUAGCUCAAAUUAUUAGCAUAAUAAUCAGCCGGGUCGGAGCUCUUAUUUGUUCACCAUGUUGUGUGGACUGAAUUAAAACCAUCUGAACUCUACUUGUCUUGCAAUCAUGUGGA
Sorghum bicolor (sorghum) is the source of this 3515-nucleotide long non-coding RNA. RefSeq lists it as uncharacterized. The record is from RefSeq and is a predicted model, not a curated record. Lineage: Eukaryota; Viridiplantae; Streptophyta; Magnoliopsida; Poales; Poaceae. The transcript is spliced from 3 exons.